ACUGCUAUCGGAUUGGUACUAAGCCAUGUGAGUCAUUGUAGCAAUACAAGGCAUACGGCUCAGUAACACGUAGUCAAUCUACCCUAUGGACGGGGAUAACUUCGGGAAACUGAGGAUAAACCCCGAUAGAUCAUAAUGCCUGGAAUGGUUUAUGGUCCAAACGAUUCGUCGCCGUAGGAUGGGACUGCGGCCUAUCAGCUUGUUGGUGAGGUAAUGGCCCACCAAGGCGAUUACAGGUACGGGCUCUGAGAGGAGAAGCCCGGAGAUGGGUACUGAGACACGGACCCAGGCCCUAUGGGGCGCAGCAGGCGAGAAACCUUUGCAAUGUGCGCAAGCACGACAAGGUUAAUCCGAGUGAUUCCUGCUAAAGGAAUCUUUUGUUAGUCGUAAAACCACUAGUGAAUAAGGGGUGGGCAAGUCCUGGUGUCAGCCGCCGCGGUAAAACCAGCACCUCAAGUGGUCAGGAGGAUUAUUGGGCCUAAAGCAUCCGUAGCCUGUUCUGUAAGUUUCCGGUUAAAUCCAUUAGCUCAACUAAUGGGCUGCCGGAAAUACUGUAGAACUAGGAAGUGGGAGAGGUAGACGGUACUCGGUAGGAAGGGGUAAAAUCCUUUGAUCUAUUGAUGACCACCAGUGGCGAAGGCGGUCUACCAGAACACGUUCGACGGUGAGGGAUGAAAGCUGGGGGAGCAAACCGGAUUAGAUACCCGGGUAGUCCCAGCUGUAAACGAUGCAGACUCGGUGAUGCCCUGGCUUGUGGCCAGUGCAGUGCCGCAGGGAAGCCGUUAAGUUUGCCGCCUGGGAAGUACGUACGCAAGUAUGAAACUUAAAGGAAUUGGCGGGGGAGCACCACAAGGGGUGAAG
This 861-nucleotide ribosomal RNA is filed under the name uncultured archaeon. RNAcentral describes it as "bacterial SSU rRNA". It matches the Rfam family "Archaeal small subunit ribosomal RNA", at positions 26 to 893 of the family's 1478-position model. The record is from RNAcentral.